GGGUUAUAUCCCCCCACGAUGCCAAGAACAUGUUCAUCGAGUGUGCGUCAGCUACUCGAUGAUCAAAUGUGCAUCCAAUGACUAGCCCUCCACAGCUGAACUCGAAAGAACACCUUUUGUCUUAACUGGAACCAGUCUUCCCUCUACAGAAUCAUCAGGGUGGUAGAGAUCAAGAUCUUUAAGCUCUAGCUCAGCACAAGCAUGAACAAAUUCGACACCACAGUUAUUGCACAGAAUCUCCGGUUCACCUUGGCCGGUCUGAACGAUUUCUCCCGCAAGCGAAUAAAACGGGACCAGUGCUAAGCCAAGUGAUUUCUUGAUGAGACUGAUACUUUUUUCAGGAGGAAUUGAUUUCUUGUAGCAGAAGAAAACGCCAACGUCUAACGGUGGUAUGAGUAAGUCAAGGUUCGACAUGGGUAGCCUCAGGUUCUGCGCCGCGGUUGCAGCCUUGAUAAUGUCAGUUUGCUUCAAGCUCAAGGUGUACAUUCUGCCUGAACCCAUCGUAGAGAGUGUAUGUAUGUGUCUG
RNAcentral lists this long non-coding RNA (526 nucleotides) under Helianthus annuus (common sunflower). Its description in RNAcentral is "sRNA HanXRQr2_Chr03g0097691". Lineage: Eukaryota; Viridiplantae; Streptophyta; Magnoliopsida; Asterales; Asteraceae. The record is from RNAcentral.